GAAAUUAAUUUAAUGCUUUAAGGAGAAAAUUACUUGUUUGAAGAGGAGAUAUUUUGGGAAACUAUUGAAUAAACCCAGUGCAAUAGUGCACCAGAAUGUCAUAAACAAGUGGGGUCCUCCCGAAAAUAUGAAGAUUGGACCCACAUGAAUGUGAGAGAGGAACUUGUGCAUUUUGUGCACUAAAUAAUCUCCCGAAUAUUUUAGAAAUCUAUUAGGCCUUAUGCUGUAUAUUAUAGAAAUGGAUUGUCAUUAUUACAGAAGUUUCUGUGUUUUGAAGAAUUUUUAAAUAACUCCUUUCCUUUAUCUUUGAUUGAGCUUACAUAAUACCGCUUAUUGCAAGCAAUACACCCUUAAUUCCUUUGUGUGUUUUUCAUUCAGCAUUCUGAUAUAGAAUAAAACUUGAUUGUAGUGUCGGAACUUUGCUCUUUUCCCUUUCUCUCUACCCUUCACCUCCCCAACCCAGUUUUUAUCUGAAAUGGAUACACCUAACUGCUUUUCAUUUAGUUUAUCUUGUAUCAUUGUAUGAUUUAUAUAUAGUGAUGGUUUUGAACAAACAAUAUUUUUACUUUUAUACUUCAACAAACACUUAACUUCUUCAUUUGCAUUGCAAUGUAAUGCUUCGGAAAUAUUGACAUAAAAAGGAAGUCUAGGAAUUAUUCUCAGCCUGUCCUAUAUUAGUUAGUCAAUUUAUUUGUCAAAGGUCAUUGACGUGAUUUUACAUUAUUUGCUUGUAGGGUCAUGUGGAGGAUGUGAGACG
Molecule: unclassified non-coding RNA, 757 nt
Filed under: Hevea brasiliensis (rubber tree)
Lineage: Eukaryota; Viridiplantae; Streptophyta; Magnoliopsida; Malpighiales; Euphorbiaceae
Source: RNAcentral